UGGGGAAUAUUGCGCAAUGGGCGACAGCCUGACGCAGCGACGCCGCGUGAGGGAUGAAGGUUUUCGGAUCGUAAACCUCUGUCAGAAGGGAAGAAACCGCACUGUGCUAAUCAGCAGUGCCUUGACGGUACCUUCAAAGGAAGCACCGGCUAACUCCGUGCCAGCAGCCGCGGUAAUACGGAGGGUGCAAGCGUUAAUCGGAAUUACUGGGCGUAAAGCGCACGUAGGCUGCUUUGUAAGUCAGGGGUGAAAUCCCACGGCUCAACCGUGGAACUGCCUUUGAUACUGCUUAGCUUGAAUCCGGGAGAGGGUGGCGGAAUUCCAGGUGUAGGAGUGAAAUCCGUAGAUAUCUGGAGGAACAUCAGUGGAGAAGGCGGCCACCUGGAACGGUAUUGACGCUGAGGUGCGAAAGCGUGGGGAGCAAACAGG
Molecule: ribosomal RNA, 429 nt
Filed under: Fusobacteriota bacterium
Lineage: Bacteria; Fusobacteriati; Fusobacteriota
Description: Fusobacteria bacterium partial 16S ribosomal RNA
Rfam family: Bacterial small subunit ribosomal RNA
Source: RNAcentral